Molecule: long non-coding RNA, 1292 nt
Organism: Dreissena polymorpha
Lineage: Eukaryota; Metazoa; Mollusca; Bivalvia; Myida; Dreissenidae
Exons: 3
Source: RefSeq, a predicted model, not a curated record
GGAUGUUCGAUCGUUUCCACUUUACGGUAAUUGAUUCACUAUAUCGUGAAAAUUAAAAACCUUUAUAUAUUUUCACGGUUUCAAAAUAUUAGGUUGGAAUAAACGAGUGUAAAUUCUAGUUUUACUGUUUUGAUUAUGCGCCUUUAAAUUUUCGGCAUUUACAUAUUUUCGAGAUUUACUGCAUUGAAACCAAGCGUUCGAUUGCUUGACGUCACUUCGUGAUCGACAUCGAUGAAACGCUUGCUUACGCUGUGGAUGUUAUUUUCUGUGCAAAUACAAGCGUCUAUUGAUAACGAAACGAUAAUUUGUCAACAAUGAGAAUCAGAUACUUGGCUUAAUAAUUUUCAUUUAAAAUGUCUAAUUUGGAUAUAAUUCGGAAUACAAAACGAAACUUAAAAGGUAUUGAAAACAACAACGUUCAAAAGAACAAUGUGGAUUUCAAUAGAAAGACUAUUUCCACCGACAAUCAGGAUUUCCGGUAUGACCACUGUUAUUUUGACGAUUUUUCUAUCGGUUCGUCGGUAAGCGUGACCACAUGUGACAACAGCGAUGCUAGUUGGAUAUAAAAUUGGAAGACGUGUCGUUGAACUCGACACAUUGAACGAAUCGCUUUUAGCAUGCAGUGCUUGUCAAGUGCCCAUGAAUUUACUUAACACUGUAGAAAGCAGGGAUUUCGGACAGGCAUGUGUUUUGGACAUACAGUUUAGCAAUUGUGGUGCAGUAAAUAAUGUGGCUUCUGGACGGAAACAUGGCAGAGUUUAUGACAUGAUCACAAAGCUUGCAUUUGGGUAAAUCAAAAACUGGGUGUUUCACCUGGGACUUUCACAUCGAAACUGGCCCUUCUCCAUGACCUUCAGCACAAAAAAAGAAAGGCUAUAGCUGUUACUCGUGCAGCAAAACAGUGACGCAUAAGACUAAAAACUCGAACGGCAUUCAAAGGAAAGUGCAAGAAGUACGAGUGGGACCAACAUACAGUUCAAACAUAGAGGACCAAGACGUUGAAGUUACAACUAUACCCCCACCUAUACCCAAGCCUGGUCAAGCAGGGCUAGACACUACUGGGAAGGAAUUUGUUUUAUUUGAUUUGGAAACAAGAGGGUUAGGUAAAGUUUAUUUUUAACAUAUUCCUUAUUCACAGUGUUGCACAUACAGAAGUUUAUCUUGGUCCAAUUCAGGUAUUUAGGUACUCUAAAUCUCCAAAGUUGAACUUCUAUUAAAAAAUAUACAUAUUUACUUACAUGUAUAACAUAAUUCAACCUGCUACUGCUGAGUAACUCAAUGUGUCAGAGAUA